UCCUUUUAAUCCCUACCUGUAAUCUCUCACCAAAUCAGGAAAGGCAUUUAAAUUUCCCUAUAAUCUCUCCCUGUAAUCUCUCAUCUCUCACGUCAGUAAAGAAAAAGGAAUCAAAUAUAAUUACAACUUGAUUACUGUUUCCAAAACUACAAAUUGAUUGAUUACAGUAUGUAAACCUAAUAAUCUCUGUAAAGAGUUCCAGAGUUCCAGAGUUCCAUCGGAGGUUUGUUGUGAAAAAGCUCCACCACCGCCAAUACAUGAUUUACUUUUAGUUCUACGUUCGAUUUUAAGUUGGGUGUUAAAUUCAGCACGGCAUACAAUAACCAAAGACAUAAGGUUUUACAUUCAGUUUAACGUUUUUAAGCUCAUCAUAUUUUAACAAUAACCAACGACACAAGGGAUAUUAUGAUAGAGUCAGUAACUAGGCAAUUGAGUUAUAUCAAAGAUAUUUUCGGUUAUUAUGACCCACUGCAGUGUCCUCUACUGUUUCCUUAUGGUUCUUACGACUGUGAUUUAAACAAUUGAAGUUCGAUUGGUAAUAAGUUGGCAUGCCGGGAAUUCCAUGCAUACACGUUUCAGACGCGACAAAAUCUGAAUUCUCCAACCUUGAGAGCCGGUCGUCUACUCCAACAAUUUGUUGUCGAUAACCGUGUCAAAAUGCAAGUCAAUAAUUUGAGGUGGAUCGCACUCAACCAAGAUAAGAUACGUGCUUAUUUAUAUAAGGGUUUAGAGGAUUCUUUAAAUGUUGGAGAGCAUAACUGAGAUUCUGAUUUUUUAUUGAGAUAUGUUAGUUGCACCGAAAAUAAUAUUAACUUUAAUUCAUACUUUCGCACGUAUCGCGUGCAUAUAAGACUGGAGGUGAUAAUGUUGCGUAUGUUCUUUAUAUUGUGAUAAUAUAUUUUUUUCCUUAACUUUUCAACCAUGAAUUUGUGAUGGAUUCUUCCAAUAGGUAUUAAACCAUUGGAUAAAAAUAUUUUCUAAACAAAAAUAUAGAGAUAGUCAUUAUUCUACGAUAAUAAAUAUUGAUUUGUUAAUGUUGGUUUACAUGCACUCUAAAAUUCACGCACGCAUCGCGUGCAUAAAAUACUAGUAGAUACUAGAUUUAAAGCCCGUGCGAUGCACGGGUUAUUUUUUUUAUGAGAUUAUUUUUCCAACUCUAAGCAAUAGUUAGAACAAUGAUUUUUUUUAUAACCAAUGAGUUUUAACGGGUCUUUAUUUAUCUAUUAAAAAAAGUUUAAAAUUCAUCUCUUUUUAUAUUUUACCGGGUCUUUAUUUAUCUAUUUUAUUUUUCUCUUAUUAUCUUUUACUGAAUUUUAUUUACAUUUAUCUCUUAUUAUCUUUUACCGGGUUUUUAAUUAUUUACUUUUAUUUUUCCCUUAUUAUCUUUUACUGAUUUUUAUUUAUCUUUAUCUCUUAUUAUCUUUUACAGGGUUUUUAUUUAUCUAUUUUUAUUUUUCUCUUAUUAUAUUUUAUUGAGUUUUAUUUAUCUUUAUCUCUUAUUAUCUUUUACCGGGAUUUUAUUUAUCCAUUUUUAUUUUUUAAUAAAUCUAAAAUAAUUUUAUUGUUUGAUGACAUGAAAAUCCUAUGUGGCGUUCCGAAUGCUCUCCAAAUAUAUAUAUAUAUUAGAUUAGAUUAGUGCGUGAUUGUGGAGGAAUUUAUUUUAGAUUUAUUUUAAUUAUUAGAGUAUUUGAUUUUGGAUAGAGCUGCAUAUAUUAGUAAUUAAUUAAUUAAAAUAUCUAUGUGACACUUAAUUAUUUAUCUACGUGGCACUGAACCUUUUCAAUUCAAAAAUAAUUUAGAAAUCUUAUUUUUCAUUGGCCGAAGCCAUUAGAUUUUCUACGUGGCUCUCUAAUACUACCUCUGUUCCAUAAUGUUAUGUACACUUUGGAAUAUGUGUCCAAAGUAUGAAAACUUUGACCGUGGAUUCCCAAAGUUAUAUACAUCAAAAUGACAUCAUGUAAGAUCUUGUUAUAUUGGUCUCGUUAUGUAUUUUAAAAAUAUCAAAUUUUUAUAAUUUUUUCACAUACGGAAAUGGAUAUAUAAGUCGUUGAAUAUUGCAUUGGAGUCCGUGCAAAUAGUAAGCGUAAAGAACAUUAAGGAACGGAGGUAGUAUUAGAUUAGCUAGUGUUUGAUUCUGGAUGGAAUUUUUAUUUUAGAUUAGUACGUGUUUGAUUUUGGAUCGAAUUUUAUUUUAAAUUUAUUUUUACUUAUUAGAGUGUUUGAUUUUGGAUGGAGUUCUAUAUAUUAGUAAUUAAUUAAAUAAAAUAUCUAUGUGACACCAAAUUAAUUAUCUACUUGGCAAACGACUUGCUAAUUCAAAAAUAAAUUUGAAAUCUUAUUUUUCAUUGGGCGAAACUAGGGGUGAGCAAAAAAUCCGCGCACCCGGUAUCGGUACCGGUCCCGGUCCCGGAUCGUAAGGAACCGGCAGGUCCAAAUCUGGAAACGGCACUGGUGGUACUGAUUCUGGAUCCAUAUCCAAAAUUUAGGAUCCGGCAAUAACCAGUUCGGUUCCGGUUGUUGAGAUUUUGGACUGGAUACCCGAUAUCACCGGAUGUCCUGAUCUAAAUCUUGAUAUUCUAUUCCAAUUUGAUAAGCAACUAUGAAAAUUGUCAACAAAUAUAUUAUUGUACUCCGUACUAUUUAAGCCAAGCCAUCUUGUGUCCAAUAUUUAGAUAUGUAAACAUUACAAACCCUCUUGUAAAUACAGAAAAAUAAACUCACCAACCCUAAAUUAAAUUUGCCUUAUACGCAUCCACCUACUCAUCUUCAACGCCUCGAUCACCUUUUACGCACACAGGCACAGCUUGAGCACCAACUUAAAAUUCUUGAUAUUCAAUCUUACCUUCUCAAGAUUCGUACGAAAUAUGUUGUUGGCUUUUAAUAAUUUUGGAAAUUAAGGUGAGGAGAUGAAAUGGAAUUUUGUUGAGAUUUUGAUAUCCUAACACUUUAAAACACACAAACUUCAUAUUACUAUUGCAGCAAUAGUGUGCUGCCAAUUUUACCCACAUCCAUCUCCAUUUACUACUCCUUUGCCAUUACAUCCCGAUCGUGACACAUUGCACCCUCAUCCACCGCCCUUAUUUUUCCACUUCUCCCUCUUCCGUCUUCAAUUCUUCGGUGCUUCCCUUCCUCAUUUUUUUUGGGUUUUCCUUCUCUCCUUUCUCAGGGCCCGGUGGCUCCAGGCGCAUGCGUCAUGUUCAAGAGUUGUAUCAUGAUAACCUAAUGCCACCUACACAACCACUUCAUGUAUCCACAUCGGACAUGCAUUUUUAACAUAUGUCAUGUAUUUCUAUUUGUAAUCCACCCCUUAUGUAAAGUGCCUAUUCCUUUGAAAUCCACAGUGUGGUCGGCACUUUGGGCUCCUGUGCCUCUGGACCAGAACCAUCCCGAAAUACACGGAAAGAGAGGCAGCUGAUAAGGAAACAAAGCUCAAGAAUUACUAAAAAUGGAAUCCUGAGCUAGGAGAUACGGUCUUCCGAACCUGACAGUUGUUGCUGCCAACGUGUUGUUGUCGUUGCCCCUCUUCCUUGUUACUUCUCACUUCCCCAACUUCUUCGUUGUAUUGUUGGCUUCUAAAGGACAAGUUCAAGAUAAAAUAUGCAGUCAAGAUUAUGAGUUAGCAUUGGAGAUUAAACUAUGGGAUGUGUUCUGGAAGAUUGAAUUCGGAUUAAAGCGAUCGAUGGUGAUCGAAAAAUGAGAUUCUUGGAGGUUAAGUGUGACGAUUGAAGGGACAUGUCCUAAAAGUCUUGCAAGCAUGUGUGAAAAGGUGGAUGACGACCCCUAAAAGCUUGGAGGCAGCGGUUCUUCAACCUGUCUCUAUUCGUGUUCUCUUCCCCGGUUUAUAUAUAUGUUUAAAAGCUAAAAUGUGUUUGAUUAUGCUAAAAGUAGCAAAUAUUGUGAAACUUGGCAAUGUGUGUGAUUUGAAAUGUAAACGAUUUGCUAGAAAAAGCAAAUAUCUCUUAAAUCUGUGCUUUGGUGCAAGCUUUGGAUUAUUAAGGAUUUCUAAGAAAUACA
This is a long non-coding RNA of Spinacia oleracea (spinach), 4014 nucleotides long. RefSeq lists it as uncharacterized. NCBI's taxonomy places the organism in Eukaryota, Viridiplantae, Streptophyta, Magnoliopsida, Caryophyllales, Amaranthaceae. The record is from RefSeq and is a predicted model, not a curated record. The transcript has 7 exons.